Non-coding RNA from Acanthosepion pharaonis, 111 nucleotides. Lineage: Eukaryota; Metazoa; Mollusca; Cephalopoda; Sepiida; Sepiidae. The record is from the annotation of a GenBank genome assembly.
ACGGUCGCAUCACGUUGAGACACCGGUUCCCAUACGAUCACUGAAGUUAAGCAACGUUGAGCAUGGUUAGUAACUAGAUAGGUGACUGCUUGGGGAUACCAUGUACUGUAA